RNAcentral lists this unclassified non-coding RNA (297 nucleotides) under Glomus sp. RNAcentral's name for it is "partial contains 5.8S ribosomal RNA and internal transcribed spacer 2". The stretch from base 1 to 71 matches the Rfam family "5.8S ribosomal RNA", at positions 84 to 154 of the family's 154-position model. Lineage: Eukaryota; Fungi; Glomeromycota; Glomeromycetes; Glomerales; Glomeraceae. The record is from RNAcentral.
GUGAAUCAUCAAAUCUUUGAACGCAAAUUGCACUUUCUGGUAUUCCGGAAAGUAUGCCUGUUUGAGGGUCAGUUAAAUAAAAAUCGGUUUUGUUUCUUCCUUUCGUUGUUACGCGUCGGGAUCUGGUCGUCUUACCUUCGGUUAAGUGACUUAAAAUUUUUGCAUGAUUUUCUAACGUCUUUAAUUCGCUUACUUACGUUUGAUAUCUCUAAUGCUUAUUAGGUUCGGUCAUUCCCAUGAUUCGCGCCUAUAAUUUUUCAUUAAAUUACCUCCACUCCGGUAAGCAUACCCCCCUAA